This 209-nucleotide ribosomal RNA is filed under the name uncultured bacterium. Its description in RNAcentral is "partial 16S ribosomal RNA". It matches the Rfam family "Bacterial small subunit ribosomal RNA", at positions 141 to 334 of the family's 1533-position model. The record is from RNAcentral.
ACGAACAAGUUGGAAACGACUGCUAAUAUCGCAUACGAUCUAAUCUCGGCAUCGAGGAUAGAUGAAAGGUGGCCUCUACAUGUAAGCUAUCACUGAAGGAGGGGAUUGCGUCUGAUUAGCUAGUUGGAGGGGUAACGGCCCACCAAGGCGAUGAUCAGUAGCCGGUCUGAGAGGAUGAACGGCCACAUUGGGACUGAGACACGGCCCAG